Molecule: long non-coding RNA, 1170 nt
Organism: Rattus norvegicus (Norway rat)
Lineage: Eukaryota; Metazoa; Chordata; Mammalia; Rodentia; Muridae
Source: RefSeq, a predicted model, not a curated record
AAGCAGGAUAGUGGGAGGGUGGAGGCAUCUGGGUGGAAAGUGUUAUGUCUUUGAACUGGGUACAAUGGUUAAAGCCCUUCCUGGUCAUGCCUUCCCUCAUUGCUGUUAGGAUACUUCUAGAGUUCUUAAACCAAGUUCAGCUUUCUGCUCUGAACACCAAGGAUGCUAAUCUCUAGUGCUCAGGAAGACACCAAAGUUCUACUCUUGAGAAGAUUAGGACCCAGUAGGGGGAGGUGGACCAUGAACAUGAAACCGAGUAUCAAUGACUUUGCCAACUAUUUCCAGAAAAAUCGAGGAACUCAUGUAAGGAUGGCGGUAAUCCUGAAAAUCUUUUGAUAUUUAUUAUCUGCACAAAUAACUAUGAGUUCAUAACUAUGAGUACGGCCAUUCUUUGAAUCUUUUUAAGACUUCUGAGGAGAAAGAAAGAUACCUUCUAUGCCAGCCCACCUAAAGGUUAUCAGCUUCCCUGGGAACUAUACCUCAACAAGGAUGAGGGACAUGCCUCAAAGAUAGAAGCCAUCCCAAGGAAAGCUUCCCGACGAUCUUUCUGUUCUGCUCAACAGCACGCACUCUCUAAGGACUCAUGCAAUCUCGGCACAGGAUGGAUCAUUUGUUCUGCUGCAUAUUUUUCAACAUUGCCAUCCAGCCAGGGGCCUAAAGCAUAGAUGAGAGCAUCAUGACUAUGGGCCAAAGUAAACCUUUCUUCUCUUUAUGAAUGGAUCCUCCCAGAUACAUGUGGAAUUGGAGAGACCCGAUGGUGCUGUGGAGAUGAGCAAGAAGGGGUUACAGCCAUAACUACACACUUAUUUGGAGAUCUGCAAGGGCUCCAAGCCCGACAGAGGGGACACUCUCUGUCCUCACUAAGAGGGGACAACCACAGCCCAUCACAGGUUCCUGCUUAAUGCCCUAAGUGCUAACACAGGUUCUUUGUGACUCAACAAAUUCAAAGCAAGAUCAUAAUUGUUAUACAACCAUGCUGACUUUUGUUAAACUGACCAUCCUUAAACUAUGGGAAGAAGACUCCUAAAAGACUUUUUUCAGGACCUCAGCCAUCAAGGAAGGGGCCAGACUUCAGCUUCCCAAGUCACCCUCUGCUUUGCAGAGGGUCUCUCUGUGUGUCUGCUGUGUGUGUCUGUUUCCUCGCCCUAAUAAAGGCCUCUUUUUCCAAAA